CACAGUGUUCCAUCCAGGAACCUUCACCGUGGAAACCUUUGUGCUCAUGGGCGUGGUCUCAAGACACAGUCAGCUGUUGGGGAUCAGAGGCCACACUCACCGGAGCAGUGAGGCAGAACCAACUGGGAGAGGGUCCUUCUGUGACACCUACUGCAUCACCGGGCUGUGUGAAGUGACUCAGCUGCCAGAACUCACACAAUAUCAUUCUACACCAAAACCUCACGGGAAAAAUGCUCCACGACCCUCAGGCUUAAACAGCUGUACUGGCCGCUCCCCAGAUCUCCAGCUCCCUGACCCUCAAACUCCAACUGCAGCACCAGCUCCGCCCCAGGUCUCCAGCUCCACAAUCCUCAAACUACAACAGCAGCACCAGCUCCCCUGUGGAUCUCCAGA
RNAcentral lists this long non-coding RNA (393 nucleotides) under Pan troglodytes (chimpanzee). RNAcentral describes it as "long non-coding RNA NONPTRT009274". Lineage: Eukaryota; Metazoa; Chordata; Mammalia; Primates; Hominidae. The record is from RNAcentral.